This 103-nucleotide microRNA precursor is filed under the name Aedes aegypti (yellow fever mosquito). RNAcentral describes it as "microRNA mir-598". Lineage: Eukaryota; Metazoa; Arthropoda; Insecta; Diptera; Culicidae. The record is from RNAcentral.
UGCUGUUGAAGUUACGAUGAUGAUGAUGAUUACGAUGACGGAGCGUUGAUCGUUAAAGGGAGAAGAUCCGUCAUCGUAAUCAUCAUCAUCAUCGAAACUUCAA